Eucalyptus grandis is the source of this 798-nucleotide long non-coding RNA. RefSeq lists it as uncharacterized. NCBI's taxonomy places the organism in Eukaryota, Viridiplantae, Streptophyta, Magnoliopsida, Myrtales, Myrtaceae. The record is from RefSeq and is a predicted model, not a curated record. The transcript is spliced from 3 exons.
ACGCUCUCUCGCGCUCACUCUCGCGCUGCUUCUUUCUGCCCUAAUCUCCUCAUUCGACGCCGACGAUCAGCAGCGGCGGAGCGACUCACUCACCUCGGACGGUUUCCCUCGCUGGAAGCAAAGAAUAUCCGUGAUCUAGGUGUACAUUAGGCAGCUUGCUUUCCCUUGUUGAAUGCAACUCUGAAAUGGAGGCUGAAAUGUGUCUUGCAAGUCCUGUUGUGUGACCUACAAAGGGAAAUUGAUUAAGCUAGACAUCCACAUUGACAUAGACAAAGUAAGAUGGAUAACAAAAUUCAAGCGGUGGGAACGGGUGCAACUGCAGCUCUCUGAUAUGUUUGAAGAAUCGUUGACGAUUUGUUCGGUUCUUGCUUUGAAGUGUUAGGUCAGAUUCAGAUCUUGUAACCUGUUUGGGCAGCAAGUUUGAAAUUUGAUAAUUUGAGAUUGGAGCUUCGAAUGUUAAGACUGGAGGGUAGUCAAAAUUAUGCCUUUAAGCCGCGGGAGUUGUUCGUAGUUACUCGGAUUUUAGAUGAUGGGUAGAACUGUUUCUUGAUUGAAGGAAACUGUGGUGGAGGGCGGGCUAUGCGGCAUUGUUGACAUGUUGUAUUGGGAUAUGGAUGUAGAAUUUUUCAAGAUGUUGUCUUGGACUUGUCUCUGAGUUGAACACCAAUGGCCUGAGGCAUUGAUUUUUAGCCCAUAUCAGUUAAACUAUUCCCAAGCAAAAGGGUUAAAAAAUAUUUUCUUUACUGAACAUCGGAAAAUAUUUUCCGAAACAUUUUCAGGUUUUAGCCGAACACCGGA